CUGGUCCUGGCCCUUGCAUGUGGACAUGCGCUCCCAUACAGUUCAGCAGCCACCCCUCUACCUUUCCUGGGGAAAAACCUGCUCACACAGAAAUGCUAAAAUAUUUUCCCUGUUGGAGUACAUCUUGGAUGGUAAAUCAAGGCUUGAAUCCUCCCUACAUGGUCCCAGCUGGGGCUUGGUGAGGGUGCGUGGGAUCUCCUUGUGCUGGGUUUCCUUUCCUCUGGAACAGCUACAAGCUGCUGGGUGCAGGCCAAGGCAGAGGCAGAGGAGGCAGCUGAUGCACACCCCAUUCUUGCCCUAACAUGGAGUGAGGACAAGGCUGCAGGGCACAUGUAGAUACAAAAGCUUUUUUUUAAUAUCAAGACUAAGAACAAAGCACCUUGUAUAGCAAAGUGAAUUUUACAGCUUUUUUCCAGCCUGGAAAAAGGCUUUUCAGAGCAGAUAGUGCUGGCAAUGUCUCCUAGCAAGUCUGCACGCUUUACUCAAGGUAGUUUAUCUUAAGCUGUUUUUUCAUUCCUGCAAAUUUAAAAUUGUCCUCCCAGACCCACAAAAUUAAAUAAAAGCAGUGACUUUAAAACAAAAGACCUCAGUAUAAAAGCCCAAGUGAAAUUCGUACAUUUUUACAGAGCAGCUUCCAAAAGCCUGCCCAUAAUUGUAGUUUUAAGAGGACUUGCAAUUUAUGCAUAGCCUCUAAACAUCUCCCUCCAUCAGUAAGUUUUCUGGUGCCAUGUGGAGUAAGGAGUAUGACUCUGCUAACACUAGAGAUGCAAGUAUUCACUGUGUACAUGCAAGAGGACAAGGUAUGUAUAAAAUACUUACAGAAUUACAUAGCAGCUAUUACUUUCAUAAAAGUGUUGGCAACUGAGCAGAGGGGGAAAAAGCCAAAAUUUGUUCACCAGAGAGCAAAAGAGGAGCAGGACUGAGCAGUUAGAUGUUGGCUCUGGGAACUGAACCAUCCUCAUGUGUGUAGCCCCUGUGCAUGCUGUCUCUUGCCUGGGAAAGCUGUUGCAGCUUGUCCCCCUGCAAACAAAGGUGCAGAAGCCCUUGCGUUAUUGAGGGGAAAGAUGGAAAUUUCCUACAGAGGGAGGAAGUCUUUUGAGAAUCACAUUUCACUGUUUCAACUGUUUAAGGAAAAGCUUGUUUAUAAUAGUAUCCUGUCAAUAGGAGGUGUCUGUGUAGGUAGGUGUAUAUAUACACAGAAUGUAUGUGUAUGAGGAGAAAGAACUUUCACUGUGGUCUGUCUGCCUUAAGCACAUUGCUUCUAUGUUUCCUUAAAGCCUGCAACUUCAUUAAAAAAGAAAAAAAAAAAGACAUUAAGGAACUCCCAAGGUAGAGUGCAUGUGAGUGUGUGUGUGAGGGAGUGUGAGUAACUUAUCUUCACAUUUAGCUGGAGCCUUGGUAUUGUCAAAGCAGCUGAAUCACUGCCUGAGAGCUGCCAUCUUUGCCAUGGUGAUAAUUUGUCAGAGUGCCAACACUGCUGCCUACUGUCUCUGAAGAGCUGACCUUGUAACAACAUCAACACUCUUUCUUUGGCUUCUGCUGACAUACUCUAGGCUCUGGAAACUGUUUUCAAAACAAAUAUAUAAUCGAGUGUUGUGCUUGUAAAAGCAAUUGUGUUUCUGUCCGUCAGAUUAUUUUAGGGUGUCUCGCCUGCCAAAGGGCAAAGUAAAGGAAUAGACAGAGAGGACACAACUCCACAUAAAAAGUGAGGGGCUUUCCAUAUACAGGAAUGAUGGGAAUCAAAAUUAACCAUCACAAAAUCAGAAGUUAAUGGUAAAGGGGCAGCUUAUGACUCCUUGUGCUGUUUUGUUUCUCAAAACAAGGACAAGUGAGCAGAGCACUACAUACAAUGGGAACACACAAGGGCCAAAAGCAAGGAAAGUUCUUGAUAUAAUGCAUGCUAUAUAAUGUCUUUCUUCACACAAACAGGAAAAAAUUGCCAACUAAAAUUCUGAUGGAUACUUUGCAUUCAGACAUUUUAUGUGGAGACAUGAGAGAGGCUUAGCUUAGGAAAUAGGGUAAAAACAUUGUCAGUACCUGAAAAUAUCAAUCUUCUUGGCCCUAGGUUUAUGCUACUCUGUACCAGGUAACCUGACAAGUUCAGGCGUUCCCCAGUUGUGGGUGACUAUCUGAACACUUUGUAUUCCCACUAUUCAUGAAUAUGUACCAAACCUCUCAUGCUCUCUGUGUGUCCAGUGUGUUUGCCAGGGCACAGCUGCAAAGGAAGCACAACAAGCCAGACACACGACUCACUCCACACUUGCUAUGGCUUUGAUUGUGAGGGCCAGCCAGUGGUAAUGAAAUGCUGUUACUGAUUUAUUUUCUUCUUGCUAUCUUCUACUAAACUAAAUUAAUACAGCACUCACUGAUGUCCUAAAUGACAUUUCAUGAAAAGAUAUCAGAGUAUACCUAUAACCGGGUAGUGGUUGUAGGACAGGCUUAUCUUAAAAACUGCCAUGCACCACACAAAACCCAUACAUAUGGUUAGGUAACAGCAGUUUUAAUUUUACAUAUGGGGUUGGAAGAUGCAUUUAAAUUAGAUAUAAUACUCUGUAGGUUAAGACCAGAAGGAAAGAUGUAGCUAACCAAAGUUUGGGGGCAACAUCUUCAUGAGACACCCCUGUUUUCACUCCUCCUCAGAGAUCUAUGUUCAGGUGUUGCCAGAAAGGAGAACACUAUAAUUUAUACCAACAUGUUUCCCCUGGAACCUUCUGAAAGUGCAAUCCUUUGGCUGUGUUGAAGUCAGGUGAAUAUUUGAUAUAGAAGUUUCACUUCUGCAUGUAGAACUAAUAGUUACUCUUGAUUUUGCAUAACAGAGGAUAAAAAUUUUAUUGUUUGUCCACUUUUUGGCUUAUUUACUUGAAAAAACUCCAAUUUAAAGCACUCUGAAUUCAGCUGCUUCUGACACUUAGAGGAGCUUUGAGAUUUGUGGAAUUUGGCCCAUAUGCGUCAAUGUAUUGCUCCAUCUCUGUGUGUGUAUAUAUCUUUUCAUAUAUACAUAUAUGGCCAGCAAAACUGCAGAAAAUUGUAUUUGAGAGAAACAACAAGCAAAUUAUAUUUGACUUUGCAUUGUUUUCUAGCUUGCUUGUUUUUGCAGUUUAGUGCUGGAUUUUUACCUGCAAGUUUCCUGUUUGGGCUGCAUUUUCUUUUCAGAUUUCUUCCUGUGUAGCACUUGAAUCAGUAGGCCAAAGAAACAGAAUAACAAUCAGGAGGAGACUGAAAGCAGGGUUUCAGUGAUGUAGAAAUAACUUGCCAUGGGAGUUAUUUUCAAACGUGUUGGCUCUUCUCGAGGCAGAGGGCUAGUCUGUUACUCCUGGGCAUUGGAAUGGAACAGCACUGGAAUGACAGAGCAUCUCAAAUUCCAAAGAGUGAGUGCUUUAAGUUGCUGGGCCUGUAUGUUGUCCAAAUGGGAUGUUCAAGUUUAGCUUUGAAAGGAGCAUUUGUGCCUGAAAAAAAAGAGAUUUUGUUGCCUUAACCAAAGGCAUAAGUAGGAAUGGAAACCUGAAUGGUCUCCAAGCUAUGGUGGACAUGCAGUGACUAAAUCUUUUUAAACAUGGCCACCCAUAUGCGUUCAGAUUUGGGAAGGCUUAGGAACUUGUUGGGUGGGCCGUGUCUAAAAUGUUUGCCUGAACCAAGCUUAUAACAGAAGUUUGGUGCAGAUUAGCCUCCUGAGAUACUCCUGAAAGCUCAGUUGUUUUUCAAAUGGAAACGAAUUUUUUCUGAUAGUGAGAAAAUUUAGUUGUUUAGUGCCUGAAAUCAGCUCACAAGACACAUGGGUUAUAAUUCAUUCAACUUUAUAUUAAAAGCAGACACUAGGUUUUAGUGCACUAUUUUCAAGCUAAAUGUCAAUCCCCUGUGCAGCAAAAGCCUGCUUCUUACAGGUUUAACUUCUUCAGGAUGGAUGGCAAGAAAGACUUUCAGAAUGACUUUCCAGGGGACUGUAUGCUCUUUACUGGCAGUGCAUGAUUUUAGCUAAUGGAUUUAUUAGCUUAUGCUAUUUUUUUCCUUCCUGUGUGAGUGGGAUCACACAGCAGAGACCCUCCCAGCAUGCAGCCUUUAAUAAUAGGUAAGGAGGAUUUUUCUAUCAAAAGACAAAUGAGAAAUUGCUCCUUGUGAGAAAGCUAAUUUGAGACUAUCUGAGGCAGACCUGCUAGGAUUUCUACCAAAUAGUGUCUAAAGAAUGCAAAUUGCUUUUAAAAAACUAGUAUUUCUUGAGUGUUUACUUCUGAAACCAGGGGAGGCGUGCAUUAGCUGCUCAGUAAGCAGAGUAUCAAACUGGACCAUAGAAGGAGAAGAGGAAAAUACCAUGGAAAAUAGGCCUGUAGGCUGAGCCAGAUUUUUUCCUGGUUUUGUGCAUAAAAAGGUCUUGUUACAGCCAUAUCCUUUAAGCCCUGUGGGGUCAAGAUGCAUUGCCAAGAAAGGCUUUUGCAUCUCUGAUCGCAUGCUGCCUCCUCCACCAGCCUGUAUUUUUCUAAAAAUAAUCCUGAUUUCAUACCUUAGCUGAUGGACCUUCUAGCAGCCACAAUAGAUGCAGCCUCCCUGGAAAACACUCAGUAAUAUGUAAAAGCAUUGAGGGAGCCACUCAUUGAGGGAGG
Sturnus vulgaris (Common starling) is the source of this 4595-nucleotide non-coding RNA. The record is from RefSeq and is a predicted model, not a curated record. Lineage: Eukaryota; Metazoa; Chordata; Aves; Passeriformes; Sturnidae.